GCCUGUGAUGAAGUCACCCAAUGUUUGGAGGCUGCAAUCGGCUCCAAGUACCUGCUUGAAAGGUAGAACCUACUUGGAGCUCCUGCACUCGCGUUUGUGUUUUCAGUU
This 108-nucleotide small nucleolar RNA is filed under the name Sorghum bicolor (sorghum). RNAcentral's name for it is "Small nucleolar RNA Z278". It matches the Rfam family "Small nucleolar RNA Z278". Rfam says of the family: snoZ278 is a C/D box small nucleolar RNA. Its methylation guide targets have not been reported. The record is from Rfam by way of RNAcentral. Lineage: Eukaryota; Viridiplantae; Streptophyta; Magnoliopsida; Poales; Poaceae.